Molecule: long non-coding RNA, 427 nt
Organism: Drosophila albomicans
Lineage: Eukaryota; Metazoa; Arthropoda; Insecta; Diptera; Drosophilidae
Exons: 3
Source: RefSeq, a predicted model, not a curated record
ACUGUUGAUUUCUUGGCUCUUGGCUGGUCGAUUUGUUGCCCCCCCUGCUCCACUACCACUUCUGCAGUAUUUUGCCUGCUGUCUGCACUUUUUAUAAUUAAUUUGUCAUUUCUUUGAACGCACACGAAUUUCUGUAACUUUACAAUUAAAUUCACACGGGUUUAACGCAUCAAAUGCCACUACAGCGCCGUUGAUGAGCAUGCGCCGCCUUAUAAGGUGCUUUGUGAAACACGCAAUUGGACGAUGGACAAUUGUCGAAUUAUGUUUAUAUUUUAAUCGUUUUUCACAAAUUGUACACGAUUGGUAGAUUGCCGGAUAUGCGGAGAAAGAUUCCGGACGAACCAACCUUAAGCGAACAGCGUGACCGCAAGUUGAGUUUCGAAAUUUACGUUUUAAUGCAUAAAUAUACCAAACCGCAGACAUCCCC